AAUAGGGUGCCUGACUAAAGGGCUAUUAUGAUAGAAUAGAGCAAGUGGGGCUCCACCCCUAUUA
This 64-nucleotide transfer RNA is filed under the name Coraebus cavifrons. RNAcentral describes it as "tRNA-Ile". The record is from RNAcentral. Lineage: Eukaryota; Metazoa; Arthropoda; Insecta; Coleoptera; Buprestidae.